Molecule: long non-coding RNA, 1113 nt
Filed under: Homo sapiens (human)
Lineage: Eukaryota; Metazoa; Chordata; Mammalia; Primates; Hominidae
Description: HSALNT0142480
Source: RNAcentral
CAACAAUUCUCAUCCUUUGGGGAACUCACCUUUUGCUUUAUUCUAUGAUACACCUUUCCUUUCACCUUCUGAAGACAUUUUAUGGCAGGAAUUUAUUGUUUCAAUUUCAAUUAAUUUUGUUUUGACAAUCUCUUGACACUAUUUUAUGGUUGAAGACACCCUGGGGUGUGGCAAAACCAAGAUUGUGAAUUACUGAUCCCUUUGUUCAAAGAAAACAGUUUCCCUUUUAUGAGAAGGCCAAGAUAAAAAGGACUAGAAGGCAGUAAAUUGAGACUGCAAAUUCUCUAACAGGACUCCAAAUUUGUUAUUAACUCUGCCUUCCUUAAUGGAAAAUAUAGAAGAGAAAAUUGCAACUGAUGAAGAAUGGUUUAAACUCCUGAAAAAACUUGAAAGGAUUCUGGAUUUUUUUUAUUUUUAAGAGAAAUUUUAUUUCUUUUUUCAUGACAAAAAUAAAAGAGAGGAAAAGGAAUGUCUCUAAAAUUUGUGAAGCAUUAUGACAAGGAGAUGCUUAUAUCAUUAAUCUCAAGGCUCUAUGGUGUAGUAACAUUAUUUUCAAACUGCUGCUUGGAACCAUUUACACAAGAAGAAUAUGUUAGGGGAUUUAAGGGAGGGGUCACUAUCCUGGAGGCUUGGACGAGAGAAGAUAUACAUACAGAGACACACAGAAACAAAAGGAACACAAAACUGGUUGAACGCUGAGAUCUCUUCCCACCCAUAAAAAGCCCAGAGAACAAAAAGUUGGCCCAGGAAAUGCAAUUGGGAAGCUGAAGAAGAUUAUAGUAUUUCUGGCAGUCAAGAUUUGGAAAGUUACCUACUAAGAAGCUACAAUAUGCUCAAGAUACUACUAUAUCAGAAUAAUUUUUACCUAAUUAAGAGAAUGAAAAUUUUAUUUACUCAACCAAAUAGUGAGUUAAUAUAUAGGAAAUAUAUGUUCUGUAUCAAACAGAAUAGAAAACAAUGGCAUUGAGAUGUAUACCAGUGCUCUCAUAAUGACUGACCUGUCAUGUGUAAUUGUGUGUUAUUUUCUAUAUACACUCCAUCUGAAUGAGCAAUAAAACUAGCUUGAGGAAGAAUAGUUUCUUCUCUGAUCAUUGUAUUUCUUCAGGAUUUCUC